AACAUGUCCGUAUGAGAGUAAUAUAAGGUCUAGCCUGCCCGUUGAAAAAUUGAAAGGCCGCGGUAAUUUGACCGUGCAAAGGUAGCAUAAUCAUUAGCUUUUUAAUUGGAAGCUUGUAUGAAAGGUUGAAUGAAAAAUAAUCUGUCUUAUUUAUAAAGAUUGAAUUUGACUUUUAAGUGAAAAGGCUUAAAUGAUAUAAAGGGACGAUAAGACCCUAUAAAACUUUAUAUAAGAUAAAUUUUUUAUUAGAAUUGUUUGUUUAAUAAGGAAUAAUUUAUUAAUAUUUUAUUGGGGCGAUAGGAAUAUAAUUAAAUAACUGUUCUUGUAAAGUUUAAAUAUAAUUAUUUAUAAAGAUCCUCAAAUAGAGAUUAAAAGGUAAAGUUACUUUAGGGAUAACAGCGUAAUUUUUUUUAAGAGUUCUUAUCGACAAAAAGGAUUGCGACCUCGAUGUUGAAUUAAAAUUUCUUUAUGGUGCAGGAGCUAUAAGAGAAAGUCUGUUCGACUUUUAAAAUUUUACAUGAUUUGAGUUCAAACCGGCGUG
RNAcentral lists this ribosomal RNA (541 nucleotides) under Stenopus spinosus. Its description in RNAcentral is "partial 16S ribosomal RNA". It matches the Rfam family "Bacterial large subunit ribosomal RNA", at positions 1812 to 2623 of the family's 2925-position model. Lineage: Eukaryota; Metazoa; Arthropoda; Malacostraca; Decapoda; Stenopodidae. The record is from RNAcentral.